RNAcentral lists this transfer RNA (60 nucleotides) under Alcaligenes faecalis. It matches the Rfam family "tRNA", at positions 8 to 63 of the family's 71-position model. From Rfam's summary of the family: Transfer RNA (tRNA) molecules are approximately 80 nucleotides in length. Their secondary structure includes four short double-helical elements and three loops (D, anti-codon, and T loops). Further hydrogen bonds mediate the characteristic L-shaped molecular structure. tRNAs have two regions of fundamental functional importance: the anti-codon, which is responsible for specific mRNA codon recognition, and the 3' end, to which the tRNAs corresponding amino acid is attached (by aminoacyl-tRNA synthetases). tRNAs cope with the degeneracy of the genetic code in two manners: having more than one tRNA (with a specific anti-codon) for a particular amino acid; and 'wobble' base-pairing, i.e. permitting non-standard base-pairing at the 3rd anti-codon position. The record is from RNAcentral. RNAcentral also lists the same sequence under 3 other names. Lineage: Bacteria; Pseudomonadati; Pseudomonadota; Betaproteobacteria; Burkholderiales; Alcaligenaceae.
GAUAGCUCAGUCGGUAGAGCGACGGACUGUUAAUCCGCAGGUCCCAGGUUCGAGCCCUGG